UAAGAAAAGUCCUGCAUCUUCCCCUCCUCUGAAGACCAGUCAAUCCAUUUCUUUCUCACAUGGUCAGGUGUGUGGGGAUGUACACAGGCAGAAACACGCAAAACACACUGAUUUCUUCUCAAGUGUCCUGCACAAGACAUUGACAUUUGUUAACACCAUUGUAAAAAGAUGCCGCGGCGUAUGCUUCACAUUCUAGAUUUUCUACAGCACCUGCUGAUGAUCGAGCCCCCUUUUAUGUGUGAGUAUCGGUGAUUCAAAAGCUCAUUAUGGCUGUGUGUUACAACUUGUCUGUGAAAACCAUUUCAUGCUUUUAUAACUUCCCAGUGCAGGGAUACAUCCAGAUAAUAGAUUCAGUGUAUACAUUUUGCACCCCCCCCCCCAUUUAUUUCAGAACAUAAAUCCCAAAAGAACUAUGAGAUUGUUAUAUUUUCACAUUGCACUGCUGAUUGUGAACUCAUUUGAAAAUCACAUUUUCCAAC
Long non-coding RNA from Neofelis nebulosa (Clouded leopard), 479 nucleotides. RefSeq lists it as uncharacterized. The record is from RefSeq and is a predicted model, not a curated record. The transcript is spliced from 2 exons. Lineage: Eukaryota; Metazoa; Chordata; Mammalia; Carnivora; Felidae.